This 253-nucleotide ribosomal RNA is filed under the name uncultured bacterium. Its description in RNAcentral is "partial 16S ribosomal RNA". It matches the Rfam family "Bacterial small subunit ribosomal RNA", at positions 524 to 776 of the family's 1533-position model. The record is from RNAcentral.
UACGAGGGGUGCAAGCGUUAUUCGGAAUUAUUGGGCGUAAAGGGUGCGUAGACGGCUUAUUAAGUCUGUUGUUAAAUUUUUCGGCUUAACCGAGAAGCUGCGAUAGAUACUGAUUUGCUAGAGGGUGAGAGAGAGAAGUGGAAUUCCCGGAGUAGCGGUAAAAUGCGUGGAUCUCGGGAGGAACACCGAUGGCGAAGGCAACUUCUUGGUUCACUUCUGACGUUGAGGCACGAAAGCGUGGGGAGCAAACAGG